UACGUAGGUGGCAAGCGUUGUCCGGAUUUACUGGGUGUAAAGGGCGUGUAGCCGGGCUGACAAGUCAGAUGUGAAAUCCGGGGGCUCAACCCCUGAACUGCAUUUGAAACUGUUGGUCUUGAGUAUCGGAGAGGCAGGCGGAAUUCCUAGUGUAGCGGUGAAAUGCAUAGAUAUCACGCAGAACUCCGAUUGCGAAGGCAGCUUACUAAGCCAUAACUGACACUGAAGCACGAAAGCGUGGGGAUCAAACAGG
RNAcentral lists this ribosomal RNA (253 nucleotides) under uncultured Oscillospiraceae bacterium. Its description in RNAcentral is "partial 16S ribosomal RNA". It matches the Rfam family "Bacterial small subunit ribosomal RNA", at positions 524 to 776 of the family's 1533-position model. The record is from RNAcentral. Lineage: Bacteria; Bacillati; Bacillota; Clostridia; Eubacteriales; Oscillospiraceae.